This 2333-nucleotide long non-coding RNA is filed under the name Salmo salar (Atlantic salmon). RNAcentral's name for it is "lncRNA (ENSSSAG00000092750.1)". Lineage: Eukaryota; Metazoa; Chordata; Actinopteri; Salmoniformes; Salmonidae. The record is from RNAcentral.
GCUUAAGAUGAUUCUUAUAGCAUUGCACACGGUCAGUGUGAACCAGAGUGACUUGACACAACAAAUGGCCAAGCAAAUUGUACAUACAAAACGGAAACGACACAGGAAAACGACUUUAGCUAUCUAUGAUAAUCGCAUCAGUAGAAUAUGCCUGACUCUCCUCCACCAGUCAUACAAAGAGAAUGGUCUAAUGCCGCCCCUCAAAAAGAGAGCUGGCCCAAGCAAGCACAGGUUACACCUGAAGCAUGAGGACUUGCAGUGAGUAGUGAACUUCAUCAACAACUACGUAGAGUUGACCCCGCCCUGUGCAACUGGGUCCUGGACUUUCUGGCGGGCCACCGCCAGGUGGUGAGGGUAGGAAACAACAUCUUCACCCCGCUGAUCCUCAACACUGGGGCCCCAAAAGGAUGACACUACAGUGGUAGGCUUGAUUACCAACAACUACAGGGAGGAGGUGAGGGCCCUCGGAGUGUGGUGUCAGGAAAAGAACCUCUCACUUAACGUCAACAAAACAAAGGAGAUGAUCGUGGACUUCAGGAAACAGCAGAGGGAGCACCUCCCCAUCCACGGGACAGUAGUGGAGAAGGUGGAAAGUUAAGUUCUUCGGUGUACACAUCACGGACAAACUGAAAUGGUCCACCCACACAGACAGUGUGGUGAAGAAGGUGCAACAGCGCCUCUUCAACCUCAGGAGACUGAAGAAAUGUGGCUUGUCAUCUAAAACACUCAAACUUUUACAGAUGCACAAUUGAGAGCAUCCUGCCGGGCUCUAUCACCGCGUGGUACAGCAAUUGCACCGCCCACAACCGCAAGGCUCUCCAGAGGGUAGUGCGGUCUGCACAACGCAUCACCGGGGGCAAAUUACCUGCCCUCCAGGAGACCUACAGCACCUGAUGUCACAGAAAGGCCAAAAAGAUCAUCAAGGACAACAACCACCUGAGCCACUGCCACAGAAGGCGAGGUGCACUAUCCUCCUGACCCUAUGCAGCUGUGACAGGUGUCAACAUCCCACAGCUGGUUGGACUGGAGGAUGAUAUGGUGCUGGUGGAAAGCUGAGGCUGGCAACAACACCUGACUCCGUACUUCAGGCCGCUGCCACAGAUCAAGCAGUACCAGCACUUCAGGAGCGUUCGAACUCAGUCGGGACCAGGUUUCAGCUGCUGCGCAAUGAUGACAUCCAUCCUCCCAUAUAUGGUCUGCCUGUACAAACACCACCAGGACUGAACACAGCUAGACAAACAUAUAUUUUUGAGAAGAUCAGGGAGUUUUGCGACGAAGAGGCUAUGGACAUCACAUGCCCUGCACCAAAGUCAAGGGCAGGACAGAAACAGGCUCUCCGAAUAUAGAUUCCCUUGUUCAUGUGUGGUUUGGACGGACCAGUCAUCAGCACUAUCUGCAAUGCCUCUAUUCAAAUGACUCUCUCCUAACACACAUGCCAUACGUUCCUGCUACUAUUUCUUGUUUUAUUCCUGCUGUUCAGCCACUUUACCACUGAUUGUAUGCAUACAAUUACCUCGUCUAUCACUGAUAUCAUUAUUCAUAUUGUUCUUGUACAUACUGUAUAUUAUUUUACUUAUAUUGACACUAUUUCUGAUAUUGCUACUAUACAAGUAACCAUUUGGCUGUACCGUUUACACCUUCUGUAGAGACCCAUCCACUUAGCAAGAUGUGGCCAGUUGUGUAAAGUACUAAAGUAAAAAUACUUAAUGUUUUGGGGAGGGUAUCUGUACUUUACCAUUUAUAUUUGUUGCAACGUUUACUUUUACUUCACUACAUUCUGAAAUAAAAUAAUGUACUUUUUACUCCAUAUAUUUCCCUGACACCUGACACCCAAAAGUACUUUACAUUUUGACAGGAAAAUUGUCCAAUUCAAACUUAUCAAGAGAAAAUCCCUGGUCAUCCCUACUGCAUCUGAUCUGGCAGACUCACUAAACACAAAUGCUUAAUUUGUAAAUUACGCCUGCGUUUUGGAGUGUGCCCCUGGCUAUCCGUCAAUAAAAAAUAAAAAUGCCGUCUGGUUUGCUUUAUAUAAUGAAUUUGAAAUGAUUUAUACUUUUGAUACUUAAGUAUCAAAAGUAAAUGGAAUCGCUAAAAUGUACUUAAGUAUUUUUUUUAAACCAAAUAUUUUUACUCAAGUAGUAUUUUACUGGGUGACUUUUACUUUUACUUGAGUCAUUUUCUAUUAAGGUAUAUUUACUUUUACUCAAGUAUGACAAUUUUGUUAUUUUUCCACCACUGGAUGUGGCUCGGGUUAUAGCAUUUCUUUCACAUGACCCAUCAAUUUAGACAAGUGUGUCUGGGUAAGCGUCAUCUAAUAUUUAUUAAAUAUUUUU